GUAGGUGGCAAGCGUUGUCCGGAAUUAUUGGGCGUAAAGCGCGCGCAGGCGGUCCUUUAAGUCUGAUGUGAAAGCCCACGGCUCAACCGUGGAGGGUCAUUGGAAGCUGGGGGACUUGAGUACAGAAGAGGAAAGCGGAAUUCCAAGUGUAGCGGUGAAAUGCGUAGAGAUUUGGAGGAACACCAGUGGCGAAGGCGGCUUUCUGGUCUGUAACUGACGCUGAGGCGCGAAAGCGUGGGGAGCAAACAGGAUUAGAUACCCUGGUAGUCCACGCCGUAAACGAUGAGUGCUAAGUGUUAGGGGGGUUUCCGCCCCCCUUAGUGCUGCAGCUAACGCAUUAAGCACUCCGCCUGGGAGUACGGCCGCAAGGCUG
This 373-nucleotide ribosomal RNA is filed under the name uncultured organism. RNAcentral describes it as "partial 16S ribosomal RNA". It matches the Rfam family "Bacterial small subunit ribosomal RNA", at positions 527 to 896 of the family's 1533-position model. The record is from RNAcentral.